UACGGAAGGCAGCAGUGGGGAAUAUUGCACAAUGGGCGAAAGCCUGAUGCAGCUAUGCCGCGUGUAUGAAGAAGGCCUUAGGGUUGUAAAGUACUUUCAUCGGGGAGGAAAAAACAAAACUAAUAAUUUUAUUUCUUGACGUUACCCGAAAAAGAAGCACCGGCUAACUCCGUGCCAGCAGCCGCGGUAAUACGGAGGGUGCUAGCGUUAAUCAGAAUUACUGGGCGUAAAGAGCACGUAGGUGGUUUUUUUAAGUCAGAUGUGAAAUCCCUGGGCUUAACCUGGAACUGCAUUUUGAAACUGAAAUACUAGAGUAUCGUAGAGGGAGGUAGAAUUCUAGGUGUAGCGGUGAAAUGCGUAGAUAUCUGGAGGAAUACCUGUGGCGAAAGCGGCCUCCUAAACGAAUACUGACACUGAGGUGCGAAAGCUGGGGAGCAAACAGGGAUUAGAUACC
RNAcentral lists this ribosomal RNA (454 nucleotides) under uncultured bacterium. RNAcentral describes it as "bacterial SSU rRNA". It matches the Rfam family "Bacterial small subunit ribosomal RNA", at positions 340 to 786 of the family's 1533-position model. The record is from RNAcentral.